UACGUAGGGUGCAAGCGUUGUCCGGAAUUAUUGGGCGUAAAGAGCUCGUAGGCGGUCUGUCGCGUCGGAUGUGAAAAUCCAGGGCUUAACCCUGGGCCUGCAUUCGAUACGGGCAGACUAGAGUUCGGUAGGGGAGACUGGAAUUCCUGGUGUAGCGGUGAAAUGCGCAGAUAUCAGGAAGAACACCCGUGGCUAAGGCGGCUCUCUAGUACGGUACUGACGCUGAGACGCGAAAGCGUGGGGAGCGAACAGG
This 253-nucleotide ribosomal RNA is filed under the name uncultured bacterium. Its description in RNAcentral is "partial 16S ribosomal RNA". It matches the Rfam family "Bacterial small subunit ribosomal RNA", at positions 524 to 776 of the family's 1533-position model. The record is from RNAcentral.